GUCAGGAUGGCCGAGCGGUCUAAGGCGCCAGACUCAAGGUACAUGUAAUGCACCUUAACCAGAGCAUUGAGUAUUCUGGUCCACGAAUGUGGGCGUGGGUUCGAAUCCCACUUCUGACA
Octopus bimaculoides (California two-spot octopus) is the source of this 119-nucleotide non-coding RNA. Lineage: Eukaryota; Metazoa; Mollusca; Cephalopoda; Octopoda; Octopodidae. The record is from Rfam.